This 240-nucleotide unclassified non-coding RNA is filed under the name soil metagenome. RNAcentral's name for it is "partial contains 5.8S ribosomal RNA, internal transcribed spacer 2, and large subunit ribosomal RNA". The record is from RNAcentral.
AACGCACGAGACCUGCGGACCUGCGGAGGGAUCAUUACUGAAUAGCAAAGGGAAAGACUGAUUGCUGACUCUUGAAAAGGAGUAUGUGCACGUCUUUCUUUUAACGCUUUCAAAUCUCUAUACACAUUUGUGCACAUUUGUAGGCUGAGAAAUCAGUCUAUGUUUUUUUCUAUACACACGCUUUAGAAAAAAAGUUUUGAAUAUAUAAUGUAUUUUGAUACAACUUUUAACAACGGAUCU